GAUGAACGCUGGCGGCGUGCUUAACACAUGCAAGUCGAACGGAAAGGCCCAAGCUUGCUUGGGUACUCGAGUGGCGAACGGGUGAGUAACACGUGGGUGAUCUGCCCUGCACUUCGGGAUAAGCCUGGGAAACUGGGUCUAAUACCGGAUAGGACGAUGGUUUGGAUGCCAUUGUGGAAAGUUUUUUCGGUGUGGGAUGAGCUCGCGGCCUAUCAGCUUGUUGGUGGGGUAAUGGCCUACCAAGGCGUCGACGGGUAGCCGGCCUGAGAGGGUGUACGGCCACAUUGGGAGUGAGAUACGGCCCAGACUCCUACGGGGGGGAGCAGUGGGGAAUAUAGCACAAUGGGCGCAAGACUGAUGCGGCGACGCCGCGUGGGGGAUGACGGCCUUCGGGUUGUAAACUCCUUUCGCUAGGGACGAAGCGUUUUUGUGACGGUACCUGGAGAAGAAGCACCGGCUAACUACGUG
RNAcentral lists this ribosomal RNA (468 nucleotides) under uncultured bacterium. Its description in RNAcentral is "partial 16S ribosomal RNA". It matches the Rfam family "Bacterial small subunit ribosomal RNA", at positions 28 to 507 of the family's 1533-position model. The record is from RNAcentral.